RNAcentral lists this ribosomal RNA (253 nucleotides) under uncultured bacterium. RNAcentral describes it as "partial 16S ribosomal RNA". It matches the Rfam family "Bacterial small subunit ribosomal RNA", at positions 524 to 776 of the family's 1533-position model. The record is from RNAcentral.
UACGGGGGGGGCAAGCGUUGUUCGGAAUUACUGGGCGUAAAGGGUGCGUAGGCGGCGGGGCAAGUCGGAUGUGAAAUCUCAGGGCUCAACCCUGAAACUGCAUUCGAUACUGCCUUGCUCGAGGACUGGAGAGGAGAUUGGAAUUCACGGUGUAGCAGUGAAAUGCGUAGAUAUCGUGAGGAAGACCAGUGGCGAAGGCGGAUCUCUGGACAGUUCCUGACGCUGAGGCACGAAGGCCAGGGGAGCAAACGGG